ACCUGCCCUAUGAUUUUAAAAUUAAAUGGCCGCGAUAUUUUGAUCGUGCAAAGGUAGCAUAAUCAUUAGUUUCUUAAUUAGGAACUGGAAUGAAAGGUUGAACGAGAAAAAAACUGUCUCAAUUUAAUUUAAUUAGAAUUUUAUUUUUGAGUAAAAAAGCUUAAAUAAUUUUAAAAGACGAGAAGACCCUAUAGAGUUUAAUAUUUAAUAAAUUUUAAAAAAUAUAUAGUAUAUAAUUUUUUAUUUUUUAUAGAAUAUUUAGUUGGGGUGACUAUAAAAUUGAAUAAACUUUUUUUAAUUUUAAACAUUGAUAUAUGAAUAAUUGAUCCAUAAAUUAUGAUUAAAAGAUUAA
RNAcentral lists this ribosomal RNA (352 nucleotides) under Helictopleurus quadripunctatus. Its description in RNAcentral is "partial 16S ribosomal RNA". Lineage: Eukaryota; Metazoa; Arthropoda; Insecta; Coleoptera; Scarabaeidae. The record is from RNAcentral.